CCCCCACAGUACUGGAGGGGUAUCUUCAAACCACCAACUUAAUACCCUGAGACAAGGCCGAAUAUAGCCCACGAAGAUCUCCCCAACGGCAGGAACCCGAGGGGGGCGCCAACCCGGACAGGAAGAUCACGUCAGUGACUCAACGCACUCAAGUGAAGCACCCCUCUUAGGGACAGCAUGGAAGAGCACCAGUAAGCCAGUGACUCAGCCCCCGUAACAGGGUUUGAGGCAGAGAAGGUACUGUAACAGGAGUAGUGUAGAGAGCAGAGAAGGUAAUGUAACAGGAGUAGUGUAGGGUUUAGUGAAGGUACUGUAACAGGAGUAGUGUAGGGUGUAGUGAAGGUACUGUAACAGGAGUAGUGUAGGGUGUAGUGAAGGUACUGUAACAGGAGUAGUGUAGGGUGUAGUGAAGGUACUGUGACAGGAGUAGUGUAGGGUGUAGUGAAGGUACUGUAACAGGAGUAGUGUAGGGUGUAGUGAAGGUACUGUAACA
This 493-nucleotide long non-coding RNA is filed under the name Salmo salar (Atlantic salmon). RNAcentral describes it as "lncRNA (ENSSSAG00000117902.1)". Lineage: Eukaryota; Metazoa; Chordata; Actinopteri; Salmoniformes; Salmonidae. The record is from RNAcentral.